GACGAACGCUGGCGGCGUGCUUAACACAUGCAAGUCGAACGGAAAGGCCCUACUUUUGUGGGGUGCUCGAGUGGCGAACGGGUGAGUAACACGUGAGUAACCUGCCCUUUACUUUGGGAUAACUUCAGGAAACUGGGGCUAAUACCGGAUAGGAGCUCCUGCUGCAUGGUGGGGGUUGGAAAGUUUCGGCGGUUGGGGAUGGACUCGCGGCUUAUCAGCUGGUUGGUGGGGUAGUGGCUUACCAAGGCUUUGACGGGUAGCCGGCCUGAGAGGGUGACCGGCCACAUUGGGACUGAGAUACGGCCCAGACUCCUACGGGAGGCAGCAGUGGGGAAUAUUGCACAAUGGGCGGAAGCCGGAUGCAGCAACGCCGCGUGCGGGAUGACGGCCUUCGGGUUGUAAACCGCUUUCGCCUGUGACGAAGCGUGAGUGACGGUAACGGGUAAAGAAGCACCGGCUAACUACGUG
RNAcentral lists this ribosomal RNA (468 nucleotides) under uncultured bacterium. Its description in RNAcentral is "partial 16S ribosomal RNA". It matches the Rfam family "Bacterial small subunit ribosomal RNA", at positions 28 to 507 of the family's 1533-position model. The record is from RNAcentral.